This 378-nucleotide unclassified non-coding RNA is filed under the name soil metagenome. RNAcentral describes it as "partial contains 5.8S ribosomal RNA, internal transcribed spacer 2, and large subunit ribosomal RNA". The stretch from base 1 to 120 matches the Rfam family "5.8S ribosomal RNA", at positions 35 to 154 of the family's 154-position model. The record is from RNAcentral.
GAUGAAGAACGUAGCGAAAUGCGAUAAGUAGUGUGAAUUGCAGAAUUCAGUGAAUCAUCAAAUCUUUGAACGCACAUUGCGCCUCUUGGUAUUCCGGGAGGCAUGCCUGUCCGAGCGUCAUUAAGACAAACUUCAAGCACCUUUUUGUUGCUUGGUCUUGAGGGAUGAGUCGUUAAUAGCCACUCACCCAUCGAAUUCCAGUGGCAGAGUCUAAGCAACGGUUGUCCCAGUGUGAUAUGAUAUUUUCUUUUUUUCACGUCACUGGCUUGUCCGUUGUUAACUCUUGCCAAUCGUAACCUCCUCUCAUCUAUUUAUAUCAAAGACCUCGGAUCAGGUAGGGAUACCCGCUGAACUUAAGCAUAUCAAUAAGCGGAGGAA